GACGAACGCUGGCGGCGUGCUUAACACAUGCAAGUCGAACGGUAAGGCCCUGCUCUUGUGGGGUGCUCGAGUGGCGAACGGGUGAGUAACACGUGAGUAACCUGCCCUUGACUUUGGGAUAACUUCAGGAAACUGGGGCUAAUACCGGAUAGGAGCUCCUGCUGCAUGGUGUGGGUUGGAAAGUUUCGGCGGUUGGGGAUGGACUCGCGGCUUAUCAGCUUGUUGGUGGGGUAGUGGCUUACCAAGGCUUUGACGGGUAGCCGGCCUGAGAGGGUGACCGGCCACAUUGGGACUGAGAUACGGCCCAGACUCCUACGGGAGGCAGCAGUGGGGAAUAUUGCACAAUGGGCGGAAGCCUGAUGCAGCAACGCCGCGUGCGGGAUGACGGCCUUCGGGUUGUAAACCGCUUUCGCCUGGGAAGAAGCGAAAGUGACGGUAACGGGUAAAGAAGCACCGGCUAACUACGUG
Molecule: ribosomal RNA, 468 nt
Filed under: uncultured bacterium
Lineage: Bacteria
Description: partial 16S ribosomal RNA
Rfam family: Bacterial small subunit ribosomal RNA
Source: RNAcentral